This 73-nucleotide transfer RNA is filed under the name Felis catus (domestic cat). It matches the Rfam family "tRNA". Rfam says of the family: Transfer RNA (tRNA) molecules are approximately 80 nucleotides in length. Their secondary structure includes four short double-helical elements and three loops (D, anti-codon, and T loops). The record is from Rfam by way of RNAcentral. Lineage: Eukaryota; Metazoa; Chordata; Mammalia; Carnivora; Felidae.
ACUUGGCUGGCUCAGUUGGCGGAGUGUGUGACUUUUGAUCUCAGGGUUGUGAGUUCAAGUCCCAUGUUGGGUA